RNAcentral lists this unclassified non-coding RNA (316 nucleotides) under Paracidovorax cattleyae. RNAcentral describes it as "Acidovorax cattleyae Long range pseudoknot". The record is from RNAcentral. Lineage: Bacteria; Pseudomonadati; Pseudomonadota; Betaproteobacteria; Burkholderiales; Comamonadaceae.
ACGGACGAUGGCGACUACAACAUCAAGCUGCGCAACAUCCGCCGCUUCCUCGCCGAAGGCGACAAGUGCAAGAUCACGCUGCGUUUCCGCGGUCGGGAAAUCACCCACCAGGAAAUCGGUCUGGCCCUGCUCAACCGCAUCCGCGACGAUCUGGGCGACACCAUCCUGAUCGAGCAGUUCCCGAAGCUCGAAGGGCGGCAGAUGAUCAUGAUGAUCGCCCCCGGCAAGCGCAAGCCUGCCGCCAAGCCGGCAGCGGAAGGGGCCGCAGCGUCCACCUGAUCGGUGGGCCUGUUUUGAAGGAAUGUUCCCGGGAGCA